GGGACACCAGUUGGAAACGACUGCUAAUUCCGCAUAAGCCCACAGCUCGGCAUCGAGCAGAGGGAAAAGGAGCAAUCCGCUUUGAGAUGGCCUCGCGUCCGAUUAGCUAGUUGGUGAGGUAAUGGCCCACCAAGGCGACGAUCGGUAGCCGGACUGAGAGGUUGAACGGCCACAUUGGGACUGAGACACGGCCCAGACUCCUACGGGAGGCAGCAGUGGGGAAUAUUGCACAAUGGGGGAAACCCUGAUGCAGCGACGCCGCGUGGAGGAAGAAGGUCUUCGGAUUGUAAACUCCUGUUGUUGAGGAAGAUAAUGACGGUACUCAACAAGGAAGUGACGGCUAACUACGUGCCAGCAGCCGCGGUAAAACGUAGGUCACAAGCGUUGUCCGGAAUUACUGGGUGUAAAGGGAGCGCAGGCGGGAAGACAAGUUGGAAGUGAAAUCUAUGGGCUCAACCCAUAAACUGCUUUCAAAACUGUUUUUCUUGAGUAGUGCAGAGGUAGGCGGAAUUCCCGGUGUAGCGGUGGAAUGCGUAGAUAUCGGGAGGAACACCAGUGGCGAAGGCGGCCUACUGGGCACCAACUGACGCUGAGGCUCGAAAGUGUGGGUAGCAAACAGGAUUAGAUACCCUGGUAGUCCACACCGUAA
This 649-nucleotide ribosomal RNA is filed under the name uncultured bacterium. Its description in RNAcentral is "bacterial SSU rRNA". It matches the Rfam family "Bacterial small subunit ribosomal RNA", at positions 140 to 805 of the family's 1533-position model. The record is from RNAcentral.